CCUACGGGUGGCAGCAGUGGGGAAUAUUGCGCAAUGGGCGAAAGCCUGAAGCAGCGACGCCGCGUGAGGGAUGAAGGUCUUCGGAUCGUAAACCUCUGUCAGCAGGGAAGAACGGUCACUGUGCUAAUCAGCAGUGAAUUGACGGUACCUGCAAAGGAAGCACAGGAUAAAUCCGUGCAAGCAGCCUCGGUAAUACGGAGGGUGGGAGCGUGAAUUGGAAUUACUGGGCGUAAAGCGCUCGUAGGCGGUAUGUCAAGUCAAGGGUGAAAUCCCCGCGCUCAACGUGGGAACUGCAUUUGAAAAGGGCACACGGGAGUGGGUGAGAGGAUAGUGGAAUUCCAGGUGUAGGAGUGAAAUCCGUAGAGAUCUGGAGGAACAUCAGUGGCGAAGGCGACUAUCUGGCACAUAACUGACGCUGAGGAGCGAAAGCGUGGGUAGCAAACAGGAUUAGAUACCCUUGUAGUC
RNAcentral lists this ribosomal RNA (465 nucleotides) under uncultured bacterium. RNAcentral describes it as "partial 16S ribosomal RNA". It matches the Rfam family "Bacterial small subunit ribosomal RNA", at positions 338 to 795 of the family's 1533-position model. The record is from RNAcentral.